GAUGAACGCUGGCGGCGUGCUUAACACAUGCAAGUCGAACGGGAAGGUCCUGCUGGUUUGGCGAGCUCGACUGGCGAACGGGUGAGUAGCACGUGAUUUACCUUCCCUUUACUUUUGGAUAACUUCAGUAAACUGUGACUAAUACCGGAUAAUAACUGCUGCUUCGUUUUGGUGGUUGGAAUGUUUCGGAGGUUGGUGAUGGACUGUUGGGUUAGCUGAUUGUUGGGGGGGUGGUGGCUUACCACGGCUUUGGAGGGUGGCUGGCCUUAGAGGGUGACUGGCUAAAUUGGGACUGAGCUACGGCACAGACUCCUCCGGGAGGCAGCAGUGGGGUAUAUUGCAUAAUGGGAGCAAGCCUGAUGCAGCAACGCCGCGUGAUGGAUGAUGGCCUUCGGGUUGUAAACCGCUUUCGCAUGUGACGAAGCGUGAGUGACGGUAAUUGGUAAAGAAGCACCGGCUAACUACGUG
This 468-nucleotide ribosomal RNA is filed under the name uncultured bacterium. RNAcentral describes it as "partial 16S ribosomal RNA". It matches the Rfam family "Bacterial small subunit ribosomal RNA", at positions 28 to 507 of the family's 1533-position model. The record is from RNAcentral.